GAUGAACGCUGGCGGCGUGCCUAAUACAUGCAAGUCGAGCGAACACACGAGGAGCUUGCUCCUCUGACGUUAGCGGCGGACGGGUCAGUAACACGUGGAUAACCUACCUCUAAGACUGGGAUAACUUCGGGAAACCGGAGCUAAUACCGGAAAAUAUAUUGAACCGCAUGGUUCAAUAGUGAAAGACGCUUUUGCUGUCACUUAUAGAUGGACCCGCGCCGCAUUAGCUAGUUGGUAAGGUAACGGGUUACCAAGGCAACGAUGCGUAGCCGACCUGAGAGGGUGAUCGGCCACACUGGAACUGAGACACGGUACAGACUCCUAGAGGGGGAAGCAGUAGGGAAUCUUACGCGAUGGAGGAGUGCCUAACAGUGCAACGCGGGGGGAGUGAUGAAGGACUUCGGAUCGUAGAGCGCUGUUGUUAGGAGAGAUCUAAUGUGUAAGUAACUAUGCACGUCUUGACGGUACCUAAUGAGAAAGCCACGGCUAACUACGUG
This 497-nucleotide ribosomal RNA is filed under the name uncultured bacterium. RNAcentral describes it as "partial 16S ribosomal RNA". It matches the Rfam family "Bacterial small subunit ribosomal RNA", at positions 28 to 507 of the family's 1533-position model. The record is from RNAcentral.